CCAUGCACACGGGUUUGAUCACACUUGCCCUGCCUCUCCUUCUAUAAAUAAAAGCAUCAUUCCAUUCAAUUUCCAUCCAUGAAUCAACCUGAAAUGCUACUGAACUGAAAACUAAACCUCUCACCAAAGGAACAAUUUCAUUAUCAUUCAAAUUUCUCAGAUCUGAAAUUCAACUAAAUCUGGUCGAAUUUCUAGAUCUAAAGUUCCUAGACCUCUCUCUCAUAAUCC
This 228-nucleotide long non-coding RNA is filed under the name Lathyrus oleraceus (garden pea). RNAcentral describes it as "Pisum sativum (pea) long non-coding RNA (PSAT_LNC004415)". The record is from RNAcentral. Lineage: Eukaryota; Viridiplantae; Streptophyta; Magnoliopsida; Fabales; Fabaceae.